GACGAACGCUGGCGGCGUGCCUAAUACAUGCAAGUCGAACGCAGUGGGGACGGUUGCGUAACACGUGGGUAACCUCCCAUCAGAGGGGAUAACACGUGGCAACAGGUGCUAAACCGCUACUGAUUGAUGGACCCGCGGGGCAUUAGCUAGUUGGUGAGGUAACGGCUAACCAAGGCCACGAUGCAUAGCCGACCUGAGAGGGUGAUCGGCCACACUGGGACUGAGACACGGGCCAGACUCCUACGGGAGGCAGCAGUAGGGAAUCUUCCGCAAUGGACGAAAGUCUGAUCGAGCCACGCCGCGUGUGUGAAGAAGGUUUUCGGAUCGUAAAUCUCUGUUGGUAGAGAAGCGGUAUCUAAACAGAAAGCCACGGCUAACUACGUGCCAGCAGCCGCGGUAAUAC
Molecule: ribosomal RNA, 403 nt
Filed under: uncultured bacterium
Lineage: Bacteria
Description: partial 16S ribosomal RNA
Rfam family: Bacterial small subunit ribosomal RNA
Source: RNAcentral